GCCUCGGCCUCCCAAAAUGCUGGGAUUACAGGCGUAAGCCAACGCGCUCUGUCAGAAGCAUGUUUUUAAUCUCCAGAUUCUGUAAAACUCUGCCACAAUGUGGAACGUUAAAGGAAAAUAAGACGUUGUCUCAGCACCAGGAUUCUUGUUCCUGAAGCUCUCAGCUUUUCUUAGCCAAGCAGCUUCUCAAUUCUGAGGGCACACUAAGCAGUGAGGACAUAGUUGUACAUUACCCUCCCCUGGCCUGUGAUGUAGACUCUAUUGCUGAGUCUAAGAAAAAAGAAGGUAUCUCCAAAAAUGUACCAAUACUUUACAGGUUGAGAAUGAGUCUGAUUUAUUUUACUUUUUUAUUUUAUUUUAUUUUAUUGAGAUGGAGUCUCGCUCUGUCACCCAUGCUGGAGUGCAGUGGUGCGAUCUCGGUUCACUGCAACCUCCACCUCCCAGGUUCAUGUGAUUCUCCUCCCUCAGCCUCCUGAGUACCUGGGAUUACAGGUGCCUGCCACCACGCCCAGCUAAUUUUUGUAUUUUUGGUAGAGACGGGGUUUCACCAUGUUGGUCAGGCUGGUCUCGAACUCCUGACUUCGUGAUCUGUCCGCCUUGCCUCCAAAAGUGCUGUGAUUACAGGCAUCAGCCACUGCGCCUGGCCAUAAGUCUGAUCUUUUUACAACACCCUGCAGUUCUUCACUUCUUUGACUGCUGCCCCAAUCUCAGCAUCAUGUGGAAAUAUGUAUACUGGACCGAAUGGAACAAGGGCUAUCCUUAUGGAGUGGACAGAAUGGGCUGGCGUCACCCUGCUUCAGGUGUCGUGUUCACAUCCUCUUCAUGUUUAUAGUCUUCAGCUUCACUUGCCUUCUUAGAGGCGAUGUUUUGAAGAACACUAACUUAGGUCUUGUGCCCCUAACUAUAAAAGUAAGCGACUUCGUAAUACUUGCAGUCAGGUAAUUGAUUCCAAGAGGAAUGCAGGGGUUAGAAUUGCAAUUUCCUGCAAAGGAAACACCCAUGUUUGGUAGUUUUCUUAGUUGUCUCUCAGUUAUUAACAGCCCUACUUAUAUUUGACAGACAAGUAAUAAUGUGGCCAUCUAUCUCUAAGACAGCAGAGCUGAAUAUAGUUCCAACUUUAUAAAUGAAUUUUAAAAGCCCUACAGACAAAUUUCAUUAAAGUAAAGAAUAAAAAUUUGGUAAAUGGAGUCUUUGGAUUUUACUAACGAAUAAAUCUUUACUUUUCUACAACUGCUAAUAAGGAACUCGAAGGUUGAAUAAAUAAAAUGAACAUUUCCUGUGUACUAAUGCAGGCCUCUUUUAGCAAGGGUGUGUAGAAUGCUUUUAAGAUGACUGCAUUUAUACACCCUUACAAUUAGACAAAAGCACGUCCCAGUAUUCUGUUUAAUAGUGGGUCAGCCAUGGAAGAGCUCAGACAUGUCACAAACAAAACCCAAAGAAGAGCCUCUAUGUUCUAUGUAGGCCCUUCUUACUACAUAGAGAUGUCCAAGUUCAGCAUGAUAAUAUAUUUCACAACCAUCGUGAAAAAAUCAAGUUAAAUAUUGUACAUAUGGUCUUUU
Molecule: long non-coding RNA, 1559 nt
Filed under: Homo sapiens (human)
Lineage: Eukaryota; Metazoa; Chordata; Mammalia; Primates; Hominidae
Description: HSALNT0157918
Source: RNAcentral